Molecule: ribosomal RNA, 465 nt
Filed under: uncultured bacterium
Lineage: Bacteria
Description: partial 16S ribosomal RNA
Rfam family: Bacterial small subunit ribosomal RNA
Source: RNAcentral
CCUACGGGUGGCAGCAGUGGGGAAUAUUGCACAAUGGGCGAAAGCCUGACGCAGCGACGCCGCGUGAGGGAUGAAGGUCUUCGGAUCGUAAACCUCUGUCAGCAGGGAAGAACGGUCACUGUGCUAAUCAGCAGUGAAUUGACUGUACCUGCAAAGGAAGCACCGGCUAACUCCGUGCCAGCAGCCGCGGUAAUACGGAGGGUGCGAGCGUUAAUCGGAAUUACUGGGCGUAAAGCGAUCGUAGGCGGUAUGUCAAGUCAAGGGUGAAAUCCCCGCGCGCAACGUGGGAACUGCCUUUGAAACUGGCAAACUGGAGUGUGUGAGAGGAUAGUGGAAUUCCAGGUGUAGGAGUGAAAUCCGUAGAUAUCUGGAGGAACAUCAGUGGCGAAGGCGACUAUCUGGAACAUAACUGACGCUGAGGAGCGAAAGCGUGGGUAGCAAACAGGAUUAGAUACCCGGGUAGUC